UACGUAGGGUGCAGGCGUUAAUCGGAAUUACUGGGCGUAAAGCGUGCGCAGGCGGUUGUGCAAGACCGAUGUGAAAUCCCCGGGCUCAACCUGGGAAUGGCAUUGGUGACUGCACGGCUAGAGUGUGUCAGAGGGGGGUAGAAUUCCACGUGUAGCAGUGAAAUGCGUAGAGAUGUGGAGGAAUACCGAUGGCGAAGGCAGCCCCCUGGGCCACUACUGACGCUGAGAAGCGAAAGCAUGGGGAGCGAACAGG
RNAcentral lists this ribosomal RNA (253 nucleotides) under uncultured bacterium. RNAcentral describes it as "partial 16S ribosomal RNA". It matches the Rfam family "Bacterial small subunit ribosomal RNA", at positions 524 to 776 of the family's 1533-position model. The record is from RNAcentral.